Molecule: ribosomal RNA, 192 nt
Filed under: uncultured bacterium
Lineage: Bacteria
Description: partial 16S ribosomal RNA
Rfam family: Bacterial small subunit ribosomal RNA
Source: RNAcentral
ACGCUCGACACCUACGGGAGGUAGCAGUGGGGAAUAUUGCACAAUGGGGGAAACCCUGAUGCAGCGACGCCGCGUGAGCGAAGAAGUAUUUCGGUAUGUAAAGCUCUAUCAGCAGGGAAGAAAAUGACGGUACCUGACUAAGAAGCCCCGGCUAACUACGUCGCACAGCGCGAGUAUNGCGGCGNGNGAGNG